This 510-nucleotide ribosomal RNA is filed under the name Porphyromonas sp. oral taxon B47. RNAcentral's name for it is "bacterial SSU rRNA". It matches the Rfam family "Bacterial small subunit ribosomal RNA", at positions 378 to 887 of the family's 1533-position model. Lineage: Bacteria; Pseudomonadati; Bacteroidota; Bacteroidia; Bacteroidales; Porphyromonadaceae. The record is from RNAcentral.
AGAGCCUGAACCAGCCAAGUCGCGUGAAGGAAGACAGUCCUAAGGAUUGUAAACUUCUUUUAUACGGGAAUAACGGGCGAUACGAGUAUUGCAUUGAAUGUACCGUAAGAAUAAGCAUCGGCUAACUCCGUGCCAGCAGCCGCGGUAAUACGGAGGAUGCGAGCGUUAUCCGGAUUUAUUGGGUUUAAAGGGUGCGUAGGUUGUUCGGUAAGUCAGCGGUGAAACCUGAGCGCUCAACGUUCAGCCUGCCGUUGAAACUGCCGGGCUUGAGUUCAGUGGCGGCAGGCGGAAUUCGUGGUGUAGCGGUGAAAUGCAUAGAUAUCACGAGGAACUCCGAUUGCGAAGGCAGCUUGCCAUACUGCGACUGACACUGAAGCACGAAGGCGUGGGUAUCAAACAGGAUUAGAUACCCUGGUAGUCCACGCAGUAAACGAUGAUUACUAGGAGUUUGCGAUAUACCGUCAAGCUCCACAGCGAAAGCGUUAAGUAAUCCACCUGGGGAGUACGCCG